UGAAAAGAGCUCAUGCCUAUUUCAUUUAAUCUCCUUGCUUUUGAAGUGGCAGCCACAGUUUUAUGGUUGUGGGGUCCGGUGAUGGGAUACUUCAUUAUGAUUUUGAAGAGUUGAAUAGAUAGAAUAGAGAUUAGGUGAUGGUAUGGUGUCAGCAAGGGAUGGAAAUGUUGAUUUAAUUUUCUUUUGAUUUAGUCAUGUGCUUCGAAGAAAUUAAAGAGCUGACAUGGUAUUAUACUUGGGAAAAGGAAUUUUAAUUUGCUUUUGAAAAGAAAGAAGCUAAUUUUGUUGUUG
This 291-nucleotide long non-coding RNA is filed under the name Vigna radiata. RNAcentral describes it as "long non-coding RNA (VRAD_LNC004691)". Lineage: Eukaryota; Viridiplantae; Streptophyta; Magnoliopsida; Fabales; Fabaceae. The record is from RNAcentral.